GAUUAAAUGGCUGAAUAAAAGUAAUAAAUUGUAAAUUUAUGAAUGAAAUAAAAAAAUUUCUUUAAUCA
RNAcentral lists this transfer RNA (68 nucleotides) under Sabethes undosus. RNAcentral describes it as "tRNA-Tyr". Lineage: Eukaryota; Metazoa; Arthropoda; Insecta; Diptera; Culicidae. The record is from RNAcentral. RNAcentral also lists the same sequence under 1 other name.